ACCACAACAGGUGGAGCCUGCGGUUUAAUCGGACUCAACGCCGGGAAGCUCACCGGAUAAGACAGCGGAAUGAUAGCCGGGCUGAAGACUCUGCUUGACUAGCUGAGAGGAGGUGCAUGGCCGUCGUCAGUUCGUACUGUGAAGCAUCCUGUUAAGUCAGGCAACGAGCGAGACCCACGCCAACAGUUGCCAGCAUGUCCUCCGGGAUGGUGGGGACACUGUUGGGACCGCCUCUGCUAAAGAGGAGGAAGGAAUGGGCAACGGUAGGUCAGCAUGCCCCGAAUUAUCCGGGCUACACGCGGGCUACAAUGGUCAGGACAAUGGGCAUCAACACCGAAAGGUGAAGGCAAUCUCUUAAACCUGUCCUUAGUUCGGAUUGUGGGCUGCAACUCGCCCACAUGAAGCUGGAAUCUGUAGUAAUCGCGUCUCAAAAUGGCGCGGUGAAUAUGUCCCUGCUCCUU
RNAcentral lists this ribosomal RNA (461 nucleotides) under uncultured Methanolinea sp. Its description in RNAcentral is "bacterial SSU rRNA". It matches the Rfam family "Archaeal small subunit ribosomal RNA", at positions 878 to 1338 of the family's 1478-position model. Lineage: Archaea; Methanobacteriati; Methanobacteriota; Methanomicrobia; Methanomicrobiales; Methanoregulaceae. The record is from RNAcentral.